CACUAUCGUUAACUGAAUACAUAGGUUAACGAGGCGAACCGGGGGAACUGAAACAUCUAAGUACCCCGAGGAAAAGAAAUCAACCGAGAUUCCCCCAGUAGCGGCGAGCGAACGGGGAGCAGCCCAGAGUCUGAAUCAGCUUGUGUGUUAGUGGAACGGUCUGGAAAGUCCGACGGUACAGGGUGAUAGUCCCGUACACCAAAAUGCACAGGCUGUGAACUCGAAGAGUAGGGCGGGACACGUGGUAUCCUGUCUGAAUAUGGGGGGACCAUCCUCCAAGGCUAAAUACUCCUGACUGACCGAUAGUGAACCAGUACCGUGAGGGAAAGGCGAAAAGAACCCCGGCGAGGGGAGUGAAAAAGAACCUGAAACCGUGUACGUACAAGCAGUGGGAGCACCUUCGGGUGUGACUGCGUACCUUUUGUAUAAUGGGUCAGCGACUUAUAUUCUGUAGCAAGGUUAACCGUAUAGGGGAGCCGCAGGGAAACCGAGUCUUAACUGGGCGUUAAGUUGCAGGGUAUAGACCCGAAACCCGGUGAUCUAGCCAUGGGCAGGUUGAAGGUUGGGUAACACUAACUGGAGGACCGAACCGACUAAUGUUGAAAAAUUAGCGGAUGACUUGUGGCUGGGGGUGAAAGGCCAAUCAAACCGGGAGAUAGCUGGUUCUCCCCGAAAGCUAUUUAGGUAGCGCCUCGUGAAUUCAUCUUCGGGGGUAGAGCACUGUUUCGGCUAGGGGGUCAUCCCGACUUACCAACCCGAUGCAAACUACGAAUACCGAAGAAUGUUAUCACGGGAGACACACGGCGGGUGCUAACGUCCGUCGUGAAGAGGGAAACAACCCAGACCGCCAGCUAAGGUCCCAAAGUCAUGGUUAAGUGGGAAACGAUGUGGGAAGGCACAGACAGCCAGGAUGUUGGCUUAGAAGCAGCCAUCAUUUAAAGAAAGCGUAAUAGCUCACUGGUCGAGUCGGCCUGCGCGGAAGAUGUAACGGGGCUAAACCAUGCACCGAAGCUGCGGCAGCGACACUAUGUGUUGUUGGGUAGGGGAGCGUUCUGUAAGCCUGCGAAGGUGUGCUGUGAGGCAUGCUGGAGGUAUCAGAAGUGCGAAUGCUGACAUAAGUAACGAUAAAGCGGGUGAAAAGCCCGCUCGCCGGAAGACCAAGGGUUCCUGUCCAACGUUAAUCGGGGCAGGGUGAGUCGACCCCUAAGGCGAGGCCGAAAGGCGUAGUCGAUGGGAAACAGGUUAAUAUUCCUGUACUUGGUGUUACUGCGAAGGGGGGACGGAGAAGGCUAUGUUAGCCGGGCGACGGUUGUCCCGGUUUAAGCAUGUAGGCUGAUUGUCCAGGCAAAUCCGGAUAAUCAAGGCUGAGGUGUGAUGACGAGGCACUACGGUGCUGAAGUAACAAAUGCCCUGCUUCCAGGAAAAGCCUCUAAGCAUCAGGUAACAUCAAAUCGUACCCCAAACCGACACAGGUGGUCAGGUAGAGAAUACCAAGGCGCUUGAGAGAACUCGGGUGAAGGAACUAGGCAAAAUGGUGCCGUAACUUCGGGAGAAGGCACGCUGGUGUGUAGGUGAAGUCCCUGCGGAUGGAGCUGAGACCAGUCGAAGAUACCAGCUGGCUGCAACUGUUUAUUAAAAACACAGCACUGUGCAAACACGAAAGUGGACGUAUACGGUGUGACGCCUGCCCGGUGCCGGAAGGUUAAUUGAUGGGGUUAUCCGUAAGGAGAAGCUCUUGAUCGAAGCCCCGGUAAACGGCGGCCGUAACUAUAACGGUCCUAAGGUAGCGAAAUUCCUUGUCGGGUAAGUUCCGACCUGCACGAAUGGCGUAAUGAUGGCCAGGCUGUCUCCACCCGAGACUCAGUGAAAUUGAACUCGCUGUGAAGAUGCAGUGUACCCGCGGCAAGACGGAAAGACCCCGUGAACCUUUACUAUAGCUUGACACUGAACAUUGAGCCUUGAUGUGUAGGAUAGGUGGGAGGCUUUGAAGCGUGGACGCCAGUCUGCGUGGAGCCAACCUUGAAAUACCACCCUUUAAUGUUUGAUGUUCUAACGUUGGCCCCUUACCGGGGUUGCGGACAGUGUCUGGUGGGUAGUUUGACUGGGGCGGUCUCCUCCCAAAGCGUAACGGAGGAGCACGAAGGUUAGCUAAUCCUGGUCGGACAUCAGGAGGUUAGUGCAAUGGCAUAAGCUAGCUUGACUGCGAGCGUGACGGCGCGAGCAGGUGCGAAAGCAGGUCAUAGUGAUCCGGUGGUUCUGAAUGGAAGGGCCAUCGCUCAACGGAUAAAAGGUACUCCGGGGAUAACAGGCUGAUACCGCCCAAGAGUUCAUAUCGACGGCGGUGUUUGGCACCUCGAUGUCGGCUCAUCACAUCCUGGGGCUGAAGUAGGUCCCAAGGGUAUGGCUGUUCGCCAUUUAAAGUGGUACGCGAGCUGGGUUUAGAACGUCGUGAGACAGUUCGGUCCCUAUCUGCCGUGGGCGCUGGAGAAUUGAGGGGGGCUGCUCCUAGUACGAGAGGACCGGAGUGGACGCAUCACUGGUGUUCGGGUUGUCAUGCCAAUGGCACUGCCCGGUAGCUAAAUGCGGAAGAGAUAAGUGCUGAAAGCAUCUAAGCACGAAACUUGCCCCGAGAUGAGUUCUCCCUGAGACUUUAAGUCUCCUGAAGGAACGUUGAAGACGACGACGUUGAUAGGCCGGGUGUGUAAGCGCAGCGAUGCGUUGAGCUAACCGGUACUAAUGAACCGUGAGGCUUAACCUU
This 2758-nucleotide ribosomal RNA is filed under the name Klebsiella pneumoniae subsp. pneumoniae. RNAcentral's name for it is "bacterial LSU rRNA". It matches the Rfam family "Bacterial large subunit ribosomal RNA". The record is from RNAcentral. Lineage: Bacteria; Pseudomonadati; Pseudomonadota; Gammaproteobacteria; Enterobacterales; Enterobacteriaceae.